AUUACCUGGAGAUUUUGUUAAAAUGCAGAUUGUGAUUCAGUAGAUCUGGAUGGGGCUGCAAUUCUGCAUUCCUAACAAACUUCCAGGUGAUGGUGA
This is a microRNA precursor of Pan troglodytes (chimpanzee), 96 nucleotides long. It matches the Rfam family "mir-544 microRNA precursor family". NCBI's taxonomy places the organism in Eukaryota, Metazoa, Chordata, Mammalia, Primates, Hominidae. The record is from Rfam.